Molecule: ribosomal RNA, 465 nt
Filed under: uncultured bacterium
Lineage: Bacteria
Description: partial 16S ribosomal RNA
Rfam family: Bacterial small subunit ribosomal RNA
Source: RNAcentral
CCUACGGGAGGCAGCAGUGGGGAAUAUUGCGCAAUGGGCGAAAGCCUGACGCAGCGACGCCGCGUGAGGGAUGAAGGUCUUCGGAUCGUAAACCUCUGUCAGCAGGGAAGAACGGUCACUGUGCUAAUCAGCAGUGAAUUGCCGGUACCUGCAAAGGAAGCACCGGCUAAAUCCGUGCCAGCAGCCGCGGGAAUACGGAGGGUGCGAGCGUUAAUCGGAAUUAGUGGGCGUAAAGCGCUCGUAGGCGGUAUGUCAAGUCACGUGUGAAAUCCCCGCGCACAACGUGGGAACUGCCUUUGAAACUGGCAAACUGGAGUGUGUGAGAGGAUAGUGGAAUUCCAGGUGUAGGAGUGAAAUCCGUAGAUAUCUGGAGGAAAAUCAGUGGCGAAGGCGACUAUCUGGCACAUAACUGACGCUGAGGAGCGAAAGCGUGGGUAGCAAACAGGAUUAGAUACCCGUGUAGUC